CGCCACUGCCGGUAACCAUCCACGCUCACUUUCAGAACCACAUAGAUCAACACCGCCACCAAGGUACUCAAGGCAGUGUCGUACGCCAGCGUCUCGUACUUUUCCAUCGCUCGCACCGCUGCAUUUAAACCAGAGUGCGGGAAGAACCCAUAGCGCCCAGAGAAAGCCCACGCGGUCACAGGGUGUCCUACAGACAGCACCUGUAGUCAGGAUCGGACCCGGAUCUCUGGCGCUGUAAGCCAGCAACUCUACCCCUGCGCCACUGUGCCGCUCUAAAAAUGAUGUACAGUUUCAUAGAUCGGAAAAAAAGAAAGAAGAAAAAAAAAGAAAAGAGAAAGAAAAAGAAAAAAUGUCAAGAAAAACACGAAAAAGAAAAAAGGAAAACCCCAGACCAACGAAGGAGUGACAGAAGCGGAGAUAUAUCCCACUACCCUUCCAUACGCUCGCUCACCCGACCCUAGCGUCGGUUUUGAGUUUGUGUUCAACCAUUAUGUUGUUGAAGAAAUUCAAUAAAAGGAGACCAUAUUUUUGAAAAUUGGUCAGGUUUGUCAGUCAAGCCAAGUCUUAUUUUUUCUAGAUGUAGUGUCUCGGUCAUUUCUGUGAUCCACAUCUUCAAUGUGGGGACUGUUAUCUUUUUCCAGAAUUUAAGUAUUAGUCUUUUCACAGCCAUUAAACCAUAGUCAAGGAAGCGUCUUUGAAAUAUCGUUAGAUUAGGGCAGCCCUCUGUCAUUCCUUAUAUUAUUAGUUUUGGAUCUGGUUCCAAUUGAAUUUUAAAUGUUUUGCUCAGGUGUAAUGUUAAACCAACCUUUGGCCUUGGCUAAUCUGAACACAAACCCAUUCCAAGCUCAUAAAUUUUGCCAUUCCAGUCCAGUCCAAAUAUGCUGAUAAUUUGUACAACAAAGAUUGAUCAAGGUCAGAGACCACAUGCCAACCACACUUCACCUAGGUAAAAUGGUGCCAAAGGUAAAAAAAAAAAAGGUAUUGGGACAGAAGGACAAAUAUAAAUAAUAUUUAAAUUAAAUUACACAUAAAAUUCUGGAAGUCAGCAAAAAGAAACAAAAACUGAACAAAACAAAACAAAAACAAGACAUUAGUGAAAAAAUAUAAUUAGACAAAAAACCAAGUCCAUGGUAGUGUCUAGUUUUAGUUUAGUUUAGAAACACAGAGUGGAAACAGGCUCUUCGGACCACCUAGUCUGCCCGACCAGUGAUCACCCGUAAAUCAGUUCUAUCUUACACACUGGGGACAAUUAACCUACAAACCUGCAAGUCAUUGGAAUAUGGGAGGAAACCAGAGCACCCAGAGAAAACCCACGCGGUGAAAGGGAGAACGUACAAACUCCAUACAGACAGCACCUAUCGUCAGGAUCAACCAGGAUCUUUGGCGCUGUAAGGCAGCAACUCUACCGCUGCACCAGUGUGCCGCCCAAGUGCAAGAUGUGGUCCUUCGUAUUCUCUUGUUGAGUCGGAUCUAGGUUGUGCAGGUUGAAUCAAGAACUUGAUAGUACAGGUAGUAAGAAAGUAGCUGAUCCUGAACCUGGUGGUGUGGAACCUGAGGCUUCUGUACCUUCUGCCUAAUGGUAGCAGUGAGAAGAGGACAUGAUGAUCUUGAUGAUAGAUGACACAUUCUUCAGCACAUUAAUAAAAUGAAGAUUUUGAAGAGACCUCAUGACAAAUUAAGAUUUGAAAGGAAAAUACUGUCCACUGUUCCAAUUGAGUCAAGAGUGUUUAAUUUUCAUAUGCACUGAGUCUGAAACAAUGAAACUCUUGCUUGCUGCUGCUUCACAGGAACAUUAUUGCAGCAACACAAAAAAAUCAUGUA
Long non-coding RNA from Leucoraja erinaceus (little skate), 1821 nucleotides. RefSeq lists it as uncharacterized. The transcript is spliced from 3 exons. The record is from RefSeq and is a predicted model, not a curated record. Lineage: Eukaryota; Metazoa; Chordata; Chondrichthyes; Rajiformes; Rajidae.